This 253-nucleotide ribosomal RNA is filed under the name uncultured bacterium. Its description in RNAcentral is "partial 16S ribosomal RNA". It matches the Rfam family "Bacterial small subunit ribosomal RNA", at positions 524 to 776 of the family's 1533-position model. The record is from RNAcentral.
UACGAAGGGGGCUAGCGUUGCUCGGAAUCACUGGGCGUAAAGCGCACGUAGGCGGACUCUUAAGUCGGUGGUGAAAUCCUGGAGCUCAACUCCAGAACUGCCUUCGAUACUGGGAGUCUCGAGUUCGGGAGAGGUGAGUGGAACUGCGAGUGUAGAGGUGAAAUUCGUAGAUAUUCGCAAGAACACCAGUGGCGAAGGCGGCUCACUGGCCCGAUAUUGACGCUGAGGUGCGAAAGCGUGGGGAGCAAACAGG